RNAcentral lists this ribosomal RNA (491 nucleotides) under uncultured bacterium. Its description in RNAcentral is "partial 16S ribosomal RNA". It matches the Rfam family "Bacterial small subunit ribosomal RNA", at positions 29 to 506 of the family's 1533-position model. The record is from RNAcentral.
AGUGAACGCUGGCGGUAGGCCUAACACAUGCAAGUCGAACGGCAGCACAGUAAGAGCUUGCUCUUACGGGUGGCGAGUGGCGGACGGGUGAGGAAUACAUCGGAAUCUACUUUUUCGUGGGGGAUAACGUAGGGAAACUUACGCUAAUACCGCAUACGACCUACGGGUGAAAGCAGGGGAUCUUCGGACCUUGCGCGAUUGAAUGAGCCGAUGUCGGAUUAGCUAGUUGGCGGGGUAAAGGCCCACCAAGGCGACGAUCCGUAGCUGGUCCGAGAGGAUGAUCAGCCACAAUGGAACUGAGACACGGUCCAGACUCCUACGGGAGGCAGCAGUGGGGAAUAUUGGACAAUGGGCGCAAGCCUGAUCCAGCCAUACCGCGUGGGUGAAGAAGGCCUUCGGGUUGUAAAGCCCUUUUGUUGGGAAAGAAAAGCAGCAGGUUAAUACCCCGCUGUUCUGACGGUACCCAAAGAAUAAGCACCGGCUAACUUCGU